This is a long non-coding RNA of Vicia villosa (hairy vetch), 1830 nucleotides long. RefSeq lists it as uncharacterized. NCBI's taxonomy places the organism in Eukaryota, Viridiplantae, Streptophyta, Magnoliopsida, Fabales, Fabaceae. The transcript is spliced from 7 exons. The record is from RefSeq and is a predicted model, not a curated record.
UUCUACCCUUCUUCUACACAAUAUCAUCGUCAUGACCUUCCUUCCUCGACCCUGACCUAACUAUAUGAUUUGGUGCAAUUGGAAAAUUAUUUACAAUUGAAAUCUUGUAAAAAAAACUCGGCACUUGAAUUUUAGACGUGAUUAGAAGGAUCUCAUCAAAUUACCUAUCCUUCGUUUUAGGGUUUCUUCUUUCCACCACAGUCCCCUUCGCUGACGGUGGUUCAUCCACAUGCUUGACGAUUUGCAAAGACGGCGGUGCUCCGACGGUGUUCUAAUCUCCAAAACGCUCCCGUUGGAGACUCUUCGAUUCCGAUUCUGCUCCUCAAACUACAACGUGUUACCGGUCCUCAAUGCUCCAGGGUUGAAGAAAAUCACAAGAUGAUUGCACUCUCUAUUUCCUCGAUGCCCGAUGGGGAUCAGGGAGACUGUAGUUGGAAUUUGGGGGUGGGGGGUUGAUGGUCAUAGCAGUGCUGAAGCUAGUGAGAUGGCGUCAAAACUUUCGAUAAGUAUUUUGUUCUGCAUACUUAUUUUCUUCUUGAUGCCAUGUAUUUUGUUAUAUCAAAGACUUCGACAGGAACAUUGCUUCACAGACGGAACAUGUUCACGUAAACUUAUUGUAUAGAUGGAACGAGAUUAUAGGUUGGCAUUGGCAUGAACUACAAUCUGAAAGCUAUGCACUCUUUGAUAUGGAUGGAAAGCAAGUUCCACAAGAGUUGGUUAAAGAAGUUGGUAAAAUCUUCUAAACAAAUUUGCAGGAGUUGAUUGCAUUGAUUGUGCUGCUGAUGCGUUGGUUGUGAGUGUUGUGAAUGAAGGAAUUGAAGCUGUAAGAGACAUCUUAUGCCACCUGAGAAAGCCAUGGGUGAUGAUCCAUGUCAACGAUGAUAAAAAUCUUCACUUUCACAAAGCUCAAUUUGAUCCGAAGGACUGUCCAGUUGAUUGUUCGAGGUCUUGUGAAAAUGUCUGCCCUGCAAAUGCAAUCUCAUUCCAAGCGAAAUCUGCUUCGCAAGUUUUAUAUAAUACCGGAGCACCAAGAGUAAUGAAGGACGAUGUCAUAACGGAACACUGCUACGGCUGUGGUCACUGCCUUCCAGUUUGUCCCUAUGAUAAAGUUCAACAUUUUACAGUUCCACCUGAGAUAAUUAAGUCUUAGCUUUCUCUAAAUUAUUUAUUUAAUUCAAUAUUUUUAGCUGCUAUGAAUAUUGUUUUCGUAUAUUGAUCCAAGAGAUGUAACAUAUGUUAGGGAUGUUAUUACAACUGUUGAUCUGAUCAAGAGAAAUGAAGUUGAUGCUAUAGAGAUACAUACAAGUGGAAUUUAAUAUUAAUAUUCUAUGAAACACCUCUACAGCUUCAUCAUGCCUCUACAGCUUCAUCAUCCAGGACGAUGUCAUAACAGAAUGCUGCUACGGCUGUGGUCGCUGCCUUCCAGUUUGUCGCUAUGAUAAAAAUUCAUCUUGUAAUACAUACUGUAUACACUGCCGCUUACACUGGUGCACCUUGUGUCAAGAGCAUAGUGAGAUGAAAGGAAGGCUCUCGAAAAAUAGUUUUUCACAAAUGACCAUUGCAACCCUCCUCCCAUUUAAGAGAUGAAUUCUACUGACCAAAAGGAAAAUCCCGAGACAUCUUCGGCUAACAACAAUGGACACAUUACUUUGGAGAUGCAUAAAAAAGCUAUUGUCAAUCUCGAGACAUCAAGCUUGACCCAGAUAUAGAUGUCUACAUGAAUGUGUACAUCGAGAAGCUACUGUCAAUCUUAAUAUAAUUAUGUUCUAUUUGUAAGAACAAUGCAAGUAUUGACUAUGAAAAAGAUGUCCUAGACUUUUCUCCUUCAAA